Molecule: long non-coding RNA, 916 nt
Filed under: Sus scrofa (pig)
Lineage: Eukaryota; Metazoa; Chordata; Mammalia; Artiodactyla; Suidae
Description: lncRNA (ENSSSCG00030022272.1)
Source: RNAcentral
UGUCCCACAGACCUUUUUCCAUCCCGGGUCGGCGAGCGCAGCUACCAGAGAGGCCACUGGGUUCCUUAGGUAAAUCUGUUUGCAACCCACGUUUGGGACCAGAAUACCCGAUGGCCUGCCUUGUGUCUCCCAUUGGUGGGUCCGGGUGGGGACGGUGAAGUAAAGGUGAAUUGCGGUGCAGAUUACUAACAGAGCAGGGGGUCUCUGUCUGCCACCUGGGGGCUGCCUGCUGGGAGACCCUCCAACUUCAUAGACACGAAGAGUGGAAAAGAACACGCCAGCCCCGGCGGCCGGCUCGGAGAUUAAACCCUGUUGGAAGGUAUGGAUGGUGUAUUUCUUCCAAUUCUGAGAUGUUGAUUUAGCUGUCCCAAACAUCACAUGAUGUGCUUCUCCAUAAUCCUGUACCCAAGUCAUUGCGGAUCUGCUGACAUGACUUUGGAUAUGCUGAGCCAGGGCAAAUAGAUUCUUUUGAAUUAUGCCAGUAGUGAGGAAGAAACAUGAGUACAGCUCUCAAAGUGGAAGAAAAGGUACUGAUUCUGCUCUGAGGACCAGUCCUGCGGAUGUGCAAGUUCAUCAGUGGUAGGACUAAAGUUUCUCCUGUCUUGUCUCUAACUUGAAUACACAUUCCACCCACAUUUUUGAGAGUACAGUAUCCUGAACUUGAAGUGUUUUCAAAUUAAUCUUUACAUUAAAUAAGCUAUGUUAAUUUUACCCACCCCAUAAUUCCCAUCCUUUUCUGCCUACAGUCCUCAGAAUUGUCAUUUACUAUUAUUUUGACCCAAGAAAAAUUUUUACUUAAAAAAUAUCUGUAGUUGGUAAUUUGUAGUAUUCAGAGUCCACGUAAAGUGAUACACAUGAACUCUUGUUGAACAUGAACCAUUACAUUCAAUAAAUCUUUUAAGGUGGUGAUUUGUCA